UAGGGAAUAUUGGUCAAUGGACGCAAGUCUGAACCAGCCAUGCCGCGUGAAGGAUGAAGGUCCUCUGGAUUGUAAACUUCUUUUAUAGGGGACGAAAAAAGGGAAUUCUUUCUCGUCUGACGGUACCCUAGGAAUAAGCACCGGCUAACUCCGUGCCAGCAGCCGCGGUAAUACGGAGGGUGCAAGCGUUAUCCGGAUUUACUGGGUUUAAAGGGAGCGUAGGUGGGUCUGUAAGUCAGUGGUGAAAUCUCCGAGCUUAACUCGGAAACUGCCAUUGAUACUAUCAGUCUUGAAUAUUGUGGAGGUCAGCGGAAUAUGUCAUGUAGCGGUGAAAUGCUUAGAUAUGGCAUAGAACACCAAUUGCGAAGGCAGCUGGCUACGCAUAUAUUGACACUGAGGCACGAAAGCGUGGGGAUCAAACA
Molecule: ribosomal RNA, 422 nt
Filed under: uncultured bacterium
Lineage: Bacteria
Description: bacterial SSU rRNA
Rfam family: Bacterial small subunit ribosomal RNA
Source: RNAcentral